UGGGGAAUAUUGGACAAUGGGCGAAAGCCUGAGCCAGCCAUGCCGCGUGUGUGAAGAAGGUCUUCGGAUUGUAAAGCACUUUAAGUUGGGAGGAAGGGCAGUAAGCGAAUACCUUGCUGUUUUGACGUUACCGACAGAAUAAGCACCGGCUAACUCUGUGCCAGCAGCCGCGGUAAUACAGAGGGUGCAAGCGUUAAUCGGAAUUACUGGGCGUAAAGCGCGCGUAGGUGGUUCGUUAAGUUGAAUGUGAAAGCCCCGGGCUCAACCUGGGAACUUCAUCCAAAACUGGCGAGCUAGAGUAGGGCAGAGGGUGGUUGAAUUUCCUGUGUAGCGGUGAAAUGCGUAGAUAUAGGAAGGAACACCAGUGGCGAAGGCGACCACCUGGGCUCAUACUGACACUGAGGUGCGAAAGCGUGGGGAGCAAACAGG
RNAcentral lists this ribosomal RNA (429 nucleotides) under Pseudomonadota bacterium. Its description in RNAcentral is "Proteobacteria bacterium partial 16S ribosomal RNA". It matches the Rfam family "Bacterial small subunit ribosomal RNA", at positions 355 to 776 of the family's 1533-position model. The record is from RNAcentral. Lineage: Bacteria; Pseudomonadati; Pseudomonadota.